RNAcentral lists this long non-coding RNA (1595 nucleotides) under Piliocolobus tephrosceles (Ugandan red Colobus). RNAcentral describes it as "lncRNA (ENSPTEG00000013974.1)". The record is from RNAcentral. Lineage: Eukaryota; Metazoa; Chordata; Mammalia; Primates; Cercopithecidae.
AAAGGGGAGAGGCUGCCCCCAAGGGAAGGAGCCGGGCGAGGGGCAGGGGCAGGGGCAGGGGCAGGGGCGAGGGGAAGGGGCAGGGGCGAGGGAAGGGGCAGGGGCGAGGGAAGGGGCGGAGCGAGUACCGCUCCAGGAAGAGGAGCCAUACUAUGGCAACCCUGACAGGUUUGUGAGCCGCUCCUGGUCCCCUGCUGCUCCGUGAGAAAUCAAACUUCUGGCAAUGACGAAGCAUGAAGCCAGCAUCUUAGGGAGAGGUAGUGACAUAAUUACACGGCCAGUUCUUGGAGAUACUAGGAAGCCAAGAGUUUCCUCCAAGAAUGGAGAUUCCUUGGAAGUGAGGUUCACCUUGAGUCAAGAAAGACGAAUCACACGUGGUCAAAGGCCAUUGCCCAGGGUCUCAAGAGUAGCCAGAAAGAAGAGCUGGGGCCGAAGGGAUUGUGGGUGUCCUCCCUCCCACCUGAAAAGCUACUGCUGCCUGCUGACCCUCUCAAGAGGAGACCUCUCUGGGAUCCAGCACCUAAAACAGAUAAACCUGGGAGGAUGCUUCUCUCCUCUGUGUCACACGUGUCCUGGAGAAAACUUGUGUAUCUAAAUGACCAAAGAAAACUGUGAGAAAAAGUGCAAAAUCUGUGCCAGGCCAUUCAGUGUCUGGCUGGGGCUCUGUGGUGCACAUGCAUUCCAAGAAGACUGGAGAGUGCCAAGCCUGUGGGAAAUGUCCCUCAGACCUGCCUCUGCCUGGAAUAUGACUGCCCAUCCAGGUUCAUGAUGCAGAACUGUCUUUAAAAGGCGACUGCGGAUAUAGAGAGAGGGAUUUCUAACCCUGAUAGAACACGACCAGCUGUUGCACUGGGGAAAGCUGCAUCCACCCGUGACAUGCUGCUCAUACUGGCCCGGAACACACUCUACUACCUAAGGAAUAAGCCCCACAUUUGCUCUUUGUGGGUGAAAGGAGAGGGUGAGAGAGGAGAGGAGUGUCCGCACAGACAUGAGAAGCCUGCAGAUCCAGAUGACCCCCUUGUUGAUCAGAAUAUGAAAGAUUGAUUUGUGAAAACAAUGACCCUGUAGCAGAUAAGCUUCGAGAGCAGGCUUCAACCACACGUCAUAUGGACCCACUGGCGAGGAGGUCUGCCCUCACUCUGUGUUGGUGGUCUGGGGGAUACCAUUACUGAGACAGAUUUAAGAAAUAGUCUACCUGUUGGUGAGAUCUGGACGGUCACUGUUGUGCAGUGACAACAGUGUGCUCUCAUCAGCUUUCCACAGGGCAGGCUGUGGAAAUGGCCACUGAGAAGUCCUUUUGUAAAUUCAUUGUCCAUGACUGCAGACUUACCAUCAAAUGGAAGAAGAUUCCAAGCUCUCAAAAGGAAAAAGAGAAGGAUGGAACCGCAGACUCUGGGAUCCUGCCAGAGCCUAUUUCAGUGCUGCCAGGUGCUCCUCCUCCCCCUGCAGCUCUGGUCCCCACCUUGGAGCCUCCUUCCAAGGAGUGAGAUUACCUUUCUGACUUUUUCUGGCCACAGACAACUUUUCUGACUUUUUCUAUCCUUGGCACCUGCUGAGGAGAGGAGACCCACGGACCUGGGCUCCUGGGCCCAUUC